UUGUUGUUCCUUUCGGUUUUUAAAGC
RNAcentral lists this non-coding RNA (26 nucleotides) under Rattus norvegicus (Norway rat). Lineage: Eukaryota; Metazoa; Chordata; Mammalia; Rodentia; Muridae. The record is from RNAcentral.